CCCCUAGAUGUCCUGGGCCGCACGCGCGCUACACUGAUGCAUUCAACGAGUAUUUCCUUGGCCGAGAGGCCUGGGCAAUCUUUUAAACCUGCAUCGUGAUAGGGAUAGAUUAUUGCAAUUAUUAAUCUUGAACGAGGAAUUCCUAGUAAACGCAAAUCAUCAAUUUGCAUUGAUUACGUCCCUGCCCUUUGUACACACCGCCCGUCGCACCUACCGAUUGAAUGGUCCGGUGAAAUCUCGGGAUUGUGGCCAGUUCACUUUAUUGGGAGUUGGCUGCGAGAACUUGCUUAAACCUUAUCAUUUAGAGGAAGGUGAAGUCGUAACA
RNAcentral lists this ribosomal RNA (325 nucleotides) under uncultured eukaryote. RNAcentral's name for it is "partial 18S ribosomal RNA". It matches the Rfam family "Eukaryotic small subunit ribosomal RNA", at positions 1470 to 1796 of the family's 1831-position model. The record is from RNAcentral.